Molecule: ribosomal RNA, 464 nt
Filed under: Vreelandella stevensii
Lineage: Bacteria; Pseudomonadati; Pseudomonadota; Gammaproteobacteria; Oceanospirillales; Halomonadaceae
Description: partial 16S ribosomal RNA
Rfam family: Bacterial small subunit ribosomal RNA
Source: RNAcentral
CCACGGGGGGCUGCAGUGGGGAAUAUUGGACAAUGGGGGCAACCCUGAUCCAGCCAUGCCGCGUGUGUGAAGAAGGCCCUCGGGUUGUAAAGCACUUUCAGUGAGGAAGAACGCCUGGUGGUUAAUACCCAUCAGGAAAGACAUCACUCACAGAAGAAGCACCGGCUAACUCCGUGCCAGCAGCCGCGGUAAUACGGAGGGUGCGAGCGUUAAUCGGAAUUACUGGGCGUAAAGCGCGCGUAGGUGGCUUGAUAAGCCGGUUGUGAAAGCCCCGGGCUCAACCUGGGAACGGCAUCCGGAACUGUCAAGCUAGAGUGCAGGAGAGGAAGGUAGAAUUCCCGGUGUAGCGGUGAAAUGCGUAGAGAUCGGGAGGAAUACCAGUGGCGAAGGCGGCCUUCUGGACUGACACUGACACUGAGGUGCGAAAGCGUGGGUAGCAAACAGGAUUAGAUACCCGUGUAGUC